CCUACGGGAGGCAGCAGUGAGGAAUAUUGGUCAAUGGACGAGAGUCUGAACCAGCCAAGUAGCGUGAAGGAUGACUGCCCUAUGGGUUGUAAACUUCUUUUAUAAAGGAAUAAAACGAGGCACGUGUGCCUUUUUGCAUGUACUUUAUGAAUAAGGAUCGGCUAACUCCGUGCCAGCAGCCGCGGUAAUACGGAGGAUCCGAGCGUUAUCCGGAUUUAUUGGGUUUAAAGGGAGCGUAGAUGGGUUGUUAAGUCAGUUGUGAAAGUUUGCGGCUCAACCGUAAAAUUGCAAUUGAUACUGGCAGUCGUGAGUACAGUUGAGGUAAGCGGAAUUCGUGGUGUAGCGGUGAAAUGCUUAGAUAUCACGAAGAACCCCGAUUGCGAAGGCAGCUUACUAAACUGUGACUGACAUUGAUGCUCGAAAGUGUGGGUAUCAAACAGGAUGAGAUAUCCUGGUAGUC
Molecule: ribosomal RNA, 460 nt
Filed under: uncultured bacterium
Lineage: Bacteria
Description: partial 16S ribosomal RNA
Rfam family: Bacterial small subunit ribosomal RNA
Source: RNAcentral